This 433-nucleotide ribosomal RNA is filed under the name uncultured bacterium. RNAcentral's name for it is "partial 16S ribosomal RNA". It matches the Rfam family "Bacterial small subunit ribosomal RNA", at positions 29 to 507 of the family's 1533-position model. The record is from RNAcentral.
AACGAACGCUGGCGGCAUGCCUAACACAUGCAAGUCGAACGAGACCUUCGGGUCUAGUUGCGCACGGGUGCGUACCGCGUGGGAACCUGCCCUUAGGUUCGGAAUAACUCCCCGAAAGGGGUGCUAAUACCGGAUAAUGUCUUCGGACCAAAGAUUUAUGGCCUUUGGAUGGGCCCGCGUUGGUUUAGCCGGUUGGUAGGGUAAAAGCCUACCAAGGCGAGGAUCCAUAGCUGGUCUGAGAGGAUGAUCAGCCACACUGGGACUGAGACACGGCCCAGACUCCUACGGGAGGCAGCAGUAGGGAAUAUUGGACAAUGGGCGAAAGCCUGAUCCAGCAAUGCCGCGUGAGUGAUGAAGGCCUUAGGGUUGUAAAGCUCUUUUACCCGGGAUGAUAAUGACAGUACCGGGAGAAUAAGCUCCGGCUAACUACGUG